This 301-nucleotide ribosomal RNA is filed under the name uncultured bacterium. RNAcentral's name for it is "partial 16S ribosomal RNA". It matches the Rfam family "Bacterial small subunit ribosomal RNA", at positions 509 to 809 of the family's 1533-position model. The record is from RNAcentral.
CAGUCGCCGCGGGAAUACGAAGGGUGCAAGCGUUACUCGGAAUUACUGGGCGUAAAGCGUGCGUAGGUGGUGGUUUAAGUCCGUUGUGAAAGCCCUGGGCUCAACCUGGGAAUUGCAGUGGAUACUGGAUCACUAGAGUGUGGUAGAGGAUAGUGGAAUUUCCGGUGUAGCAGUGAAAUGCGUAGAGAUCGGAAGGAACAUCUGUGGCGAAGGCGACUAUCUGGGCCAACACUGACACUGAGGCACGAAAGCGUGGGGAGCAAACAGGAUUAGAUACCCCCGUAGUCCCUGUCUCUUAUAA